This is a long non-coding RNA of Balaenoptera acutorostrata (minke whale), 3934 nucleotides long. RefSeq lists it as uncharacterized. The transcript is spliced from 5 exons. The record is from RefSeq and is a predicted model, not a curated record. Lineage: Eukaryota; Metazoa; Chordata; Mammalia; Artiodactyla; Balaenopteridae.
UUUAACUGCUCUGGGUCUGUGCUGGCUCCAGACUGCUGGGUCUGCACCGAUGUGACGGCCAAGAAGGUCCGAGAAGAGGCCUUGUUCCCCCAGGACAAAAGCGGGUCUGAGGCUCGGCGACGCCGCCCUGAUGCCCCGCGCCAGGCCUGGGAGAGGGACUGCCGAUCCGGGUCCCGCUCUGCCCACAGACCCCAGUGGCAGCGGUGGUGCUGAGGGACCCGCCUCAGGUUGUUGGUGUGGAGUGGAGGAUAAGAAGGCAUCUUCUGAGCACAGCAUUUCUGCCAAGUAAUGCCACAGGAUAGGACUCUGAAAGCAGGUCUGUCUCCCCAGAAGGCCCACCUCUGUGAGAUGUGUGGACCCAUGUUGAGAGACAGUUUGCACUUGGUUGAACACCAGGAAACACAUCACAGGCAGAAACUGCACAUGUGUGGGGCAUGUGGAAAACAAUUUCCUCUCACUGCAGACCUUUAUCAGCUGCACAAGCAGUGUGUUGGAGAGAAAUGCUUCAAAAGCAGCAUGAGCAGAGCCUUAUUCUUGAAGAGCUGCUAAUUCCAUGUGUUAGGGAAGUCCUUUACCUGUAAGGGGGUUGGGAAGGACUUUCUGGCCAGCUCGGGACAUCUUCAGCAACAGGCCACUCACAUCAGGGAGAAGUCAAACAGUGGACCGGAGUGUGUGGUGGACUUCCACAGUGUAAACAGCCAUUACAACCGGCUAGAGUGCAUGAAAGCUUGCAGCCCCAAACACACCCUUGUUCAGCACCAGAGUCCUCAAGAGGGAAAGAUCUUACAGGUGCCGUGAGUGUGGGAAAUCCUUUAGAAAAAACUGUAGCCUCAGGGAGCAUUUGAGAGUUCACAAUAGAGAAAAGCCUUAUGAGUGUGGGGAAGGUGGAAAAUUAUUUAGCAAGAAGUACAACCUUAUCAUGCAUCAAAAAGUUCACCCUGGUGAAAAGCCAUAUGAGUGCAGUGAACGUGGGGAAUCUUUUAGCCAGAGCUCUCGCCUCAUUAGACACCAGAGAAUUAACGCUGGAGAAAGGCCUUAUGAGUGCAGUGAAUGGAAAGUCCUUUACCUUCAACCCCAAUCUCCUAAAAUACCAGAAUGUUCACAAGGAAUAAAGGCCUUUACAUAAUAUAGGUAUGCCCUAUAAGAAGAUAACUAAGGACAAAUGAGGUCAUAAGAACGGGGUCCUAAUCCAGUGUGACUUGUGUCCGUGGAAGAAGACAAGGCACCAGAAGGUGCUCACUUUCUCGCUGUAUUCACGAACAGAGGAAAGGCCAUUUAAUGACACACCAAGAAAGUGGUUGAUUAGAAGUCAGAAAGAAAGGCCUCACCAGAAACCAUUCCUGAUGGCACCUUGGUCUUAGACUCCCAGCCUCUAGAAAUAGGAGAAUAUACAUUUCUUUAAGCCACCCAGUCUGUGGUAUUUUGUUGUGGCAGCCUGAAAAGAGACAAAGAUGCAAAGAAGGUACCUCAUUGUAUUCUGUUUUUGCCGUACUGAUAACAGUAGACGCAAAUAACCUUGAGAAUGUAUAGAAUAGUAAAGCAUAGUGAAAUAAUUAGGAAGUUACAAAUUUUAAGUUACCUUUGCUUUUCAAACAGCUUUACUGAAGUACAAUCAGUUGUCAUUCACGCUAGUCAUGUUCUCUAAUUCACUGAAUCAGUGAAUAUAGAGCCAUUGUUCCUAGGGGAAAUCUGGAAUUAGGUUCCUGAGAGCCUCUGGUCACAAUGUUUUUGUCAACAGGUCAGUACAUAACAUGGUUUUCCAUGUGUUUCUGUUUAAAGACAACUCAUUUACUGUAUACUGUUGAUUCGUUAACACUGAAAUCAUGGCCAACAGCAUGAUGAUUCAUGCCUGAACAAUGCUUACCUAACAUGUAUUUUCUUUAAGGCCCAUUUUUUGGGCUUAGGAACUCUAGGCGGCACAUAAGCGCCAGGUUUGGAGGCCAUUUUGGACCACAAAACCACCAAGAAGUGUAAAAAUGUAAGUAUUGAUUUGGGGGGUUUCCAGUUUUGGCAGGUAGGCAAAUUUACAAAUACAGAAUCCAUGAAAAAUGAGGAUUGACUAAUUGUCUUGCCAUAAAUUGUGCAUACUUAAAGAUAUACUCAGGCUGAAACUUGUGCUUUUUCACCAUUUUAUGGACUCGCCAAGACUUUGUGAGGACUUUGGUGGAGUCUAGGAUGUUUCAUUCAGCCAGGUGCAUAUGAUCAGGGGCAAAUUCAGUCAUCUGUGAGUCACCAGACCUGGGGUGGGUUAUCAGUGGGCCUGGGCUUUGAAUGAUGGUUGGAUGGACAGAGGAAGGGUGUGAUUUCUGAGGGUACAGCAAGUGCAGAAAAAGCAGAUAGGACCAUGGGUAGCUGAGAUCCACACAUGGUUCUCUGUGGCUGCGUCUGAGCCAAGGAGUUGAAUGAGACCUGCAUGGAGUGAUUUGGGGCUGUGGUUGCUAACAGGAACCAUGGGAAGUCUGUAGUCAUACUGGAUCCUCUCUGAAUUUGUCAAGGAUAUUCUGGAUGCUGUCUGCCAAGUUGUGUUGUAAGUUCUAAAAUUAAGGCCAAUAGAUAUGCUGCCUUGGCAUCUGGUGAAACAAGGAUGCCCUCAAAUGGCCGUGGUGCAAGUUUCCCUCCACAUGCUUCUCACAGGUAAUGUCUCCUAACCUUACAACCCUUUUUAUCAAAGGGAGCAGGCACAGUUCCUGCUUAUCCCUUUGUAGUGAGUUUCAGUUCCCUACCAGCCUGCAGAGUCAUUUAAACAAGCCAAUCAUGUCCUCUUGCGGGAAGCAGGGCACCAUACCCUCUCGAUCCCAAAGAGACUGCAUCCCACAGCCCUUGGUUUUUCACUCCGCCAGCGUGUGGCCUUCCCAUGGCCUUGUGUGUUGUCUCCCACAUGUUAAUAUGUGGUUAAUAAAUGGCUGUUGAUUACAUCUGGCCAGUGUCAGGGGUCAUGUGUUUGGCCACACCCUUAGGGUGGGAAUUAUACCCUCACCAGUGGGGUUAUGAGGAGGUGACUGAAAUACGAGUAACAAGACGCCUACAGUAGGGGGUACUGAUGCUGGUGGCCGUGGGCAUGGGGCUGUGAGGGGUGUGCGUUGGACAGGGAGCACGUCUGAUGGUCUAGAGCACUGCACUGGAAACCACAUGACUGUGGCCACACCCGGGCAAUAGCCUGUGGAGGUGGUACAUCCUUCUGUGCUUGUCCCAGAGCUUAGCUGUUGAUUGCCCAUGUGCCUCCUGCUGCUGAUGGCUUUGCCCAGUGAUCAAUGGACCCCUGAGGAGACAGAGGCACCAGUGGUACCAGGGCCUGGUUUCUUCUCUUAGUUGGGGAGGUUGGGAGGAGGAUGGGCAUAUGGUAGAUGUGAGGGUGGGUGGGUUGGUGGAGAAUGGAUUGUGGCUUCUUGGGAGUGGGGCUGUUUGUGGUUUCAUCUGUCACCAUCAUAGCAGGAUGGCGUGACCUUUGAAGAUGUGGCUGUGACCUUUUCCAGGGAGGAAUGGGGUCUCCUUGAUGAGUCUCGGAGAUGCCUGUACCGUGAUGUGAAGCUGGAGAACUUGGCACUUAGAGCCUCCCUGGGAGUUGCUGGGCUGCCACCUGCUAAAGAAGAGGAUGUGUCACCCAUACCUGUCGUUGGAAUUUCUCCCCGGGCAGAGGAACAAGACAAGGAUGCCCACUCUCACCACUAUUAUUCAACGUAGUUUUGGAAGUUUUAGCCACAACAAUCAGAGAAGAAAAAGAAAUAAAAGGAAUCCAAAUUGGAAAAGAAGUAAAACUGUCACUGUUUGCAGAUGACGUGAUACUAUACAAAGAGAAUCCUAAAGAUGCUACCAGAAAACUACUAGAGCUAAUCAAUGAAUUUGGUAAAGUAGCAGGAUACAAAAUUAAUGCACAGAAAUCUCUUGCAUUCCUAUACACUAAUGAUGAAAAAUCUGAAAGAGAAAUUAAGGAAAC